RNAcentral lists this ribosomal RNA (1216 nucleotides) under uncultured Rhizaria. RNAcentral describes it as "SSU rRNA". It matches the Rfam family "Eukaryotic small subunit ribosomal RNA", at positions 577 to 1804 of the family's 1831-position model. The record is from RNAcentral.
CGGUAAUUCCAGCUCCAAUAGCGUAUACUAAAGUUGUUGCAGUUAAAAAGCUCGUAGUUGGAUUUCUGCGGGGACGGAGCGGCCGGACGCAACUUGCGUCUCGAGCUAGCGCUUUCCCCGCAUCCUGCCGCGAACCGUGCUACCAUUAGCUUGGUGGCGCUGGGGAUCGGCUCGAUUACUUUGAGAAAAAUAGAGUGUUCAAAGCAGGCCACACGCCUUGAAUAAGUUAGCAUGGAAUAAUGACUAAGGACUUUGGUUCUUUUCGUUGGUGUUCGGGACUGAAGUAAUGAUUGAUAGGGACAGUUGGGGCGGUCUGUAUUCCAAAGCGAGAGGUGAAAUUCUUAGACCUUCGGAAGACAAACAGCUGCGAAAGCGUUCCGCAAGGAUGUUCCCUUUGAUCAAGAACGAAAGUUGGGGGAUCGAAGACGAUCAGAUACCGUCGUAGUCUCAACUAUAAACUAUACCAGCUAGGGAUCGGCCAACGUUUAAUUAUUCGACUUGGUCGGCACCUUAUGAGAAAUCAAAGCAUCUGGGUUCCGGGGGGAGUAUGGUCGCAAGGCUGAAACUUAAAGGAAUUGACGGAAGGGCACCACCAGGCGUGGAGCCUGUGGCUUAAUUUGACUCAACACGGGAAAACUUACCAGGUCCAGACAUAGGAAGGAUUGACAGAUUGAUAGCUCUUUCUUGAUUCUGUGGGUGGUGGUGCAUGGCCGUUUUUAGUCGGUGAAGUGAUUUGUCUGCUUAAUUGCGUUAACGGACGAGACCCCAGCCUGCUAAAUAGCGCGGCCGAGCUUUGCUCGGUGCGAGCUUCUUAGAGGGACCAUGAUGCGCGAUAGCACAAGGAAGUUUGGGGCAACAACAGGUCUGUGAUGCCCUUAGAUGUUCUGGGCCGCACACGGGCUACACUGGCGCCUGCAACGAGCAUAUCAGCUGGCCCGAGAGGGUCUUGGCUAAUCUUUGGAACCGGCGCCGUGCUUGGGAUUGACCAUUGCAAUUGUUGGUCAUGCAACGAGGAAUGCCUUGUAAACGCGAGUCAUCAGCUCGCAUUGAAUACGUCCCUGCCCUUUGUACACACCGCCCGUCGCUCCUACCGAUGAAUGUUCCGAUGAAAUUUUCGGAGAGCGCCGGAGAACGGGGCUCUGCCCUGCAGAACUGGAGGCCCAAAGUCACUUAAAUCUGAACAUUUCGAGGAAGGAGAAGUCGUAACAAGGUAACC